UGGUGGAGUGAUUUGUCUGGUUAAUUCCGAUAACGAACGAGACCUUAACCUGCUAAAUAGUCACACUCACUAAGGUGGGUGCUUUGACUUCUUAGAGGGACUGUGCACGUUUAGUGCACGGAAGUUUGAGGCAAUAACA
This 139-nucleotide ribosomal RNA is filed under the name uncultured eukaryote. RNAcentral describes it as "partial 18S ribosomal RNA". It matches the Rfam family "Eukaryotic small subunit ribosomal RNA", at positions 1299 to 1458 of the family's 1831-position model. The record is from RNAcentral.